CCUACGGGCGGCAGCAGUGAGGAAUCUUGGUCAAUGGCCGGAAGGCUGAACCAGCCAAGCCACGUGAAGCACGAAGGUGCCAAGCAUUGUAAACUUCUUUUGUCAAGGGACAAAAUCAGGCUCGAGAGCCUGACCGAGGGUCCUCGAAGAAAAAGCAUUGGCUAACCCCGUGCCCGCCGCCGCGGUAAUACGGGGGAUGCGAGCGUUAUCCGGAUUUAGUGGGGUUUAAGGGUGCGUAGGCGGACUUUUAAGUCAGCGGUAAAAUCCCGGGGCUCAACCCCGGCGAGCCGUUUAAACUGGCGGACUUGAGAUGUCGAGAGGUAUGCGGAAUGCGCAGUGUAGCGGUGAAAUGCUUAGAUAUUGCGCAGAACUCCGAUUGCGAAGGCAGCAUACCGGCGGCGAUCUGACGCUGAGGCACGAAAGCGUGGGUAUCGAACAGGAUUAGAUACCCUUGUAGUC
RNAcentral lists this ribosomal RNA (459 nucleotides) under uncultured bacterium. RNAcentral describes it as "partial 16S ribosomal RNA". It matches the Rfam family "Bacterial small subunit ribosomal RNA", at positions 338 to 795 of the family's 1533-position model. The record is from RNAcentral.